This 253-nucleotide ribosomal RNA is filed under the name uncultured bacterium. RNAcentral's name for it is "partial 16S ribosomal RNA". It matches the Rfam family "Bacterial small subunit ribosomal RNA", at positions 524 to 776 of the family's 1533-position model. The record is from RNAcentral.
UACGUAGGUGGCAAGCGUUAUCCGGAAUUAUUGGGCGUAAAGCGCUCGCAGGCGGUUUCUUAAGUCUGAUGUGAAAGCCCACGGCUCAACCGUGGAGGGUCAUUGGAAACUGGGGAACUUGAGUGCAGAAGAGGAGAGUGGAAUUCCACGUGUAGCGGUGAAAUGCGUAGAGAUGUGGAGGAACACCAGUGGCGAAGGCGACUCUCUGGUCUGUAACUGACGCUGAGGAGCGAAAGCGUGGGGAGCAAACAGG